Molecule: ribosomal RNA, 1265 nt
Filed under: Staphylococcus aureus
Lineage: Bacteria; Bacillati; Bacillota; Bacilli; Caryophanales; Staphylococcaceae
Description: bacterial SSU rRNA
Rfam family: Bacterial small subunit ribosomal RNA
Source: RNAcentral
AAAGACGGUCUUGCUGUCACUUAUAGAUGGAUCCGCGCUGCAUUAGCUAGUUGGUAAGGUAACGGCUUACCAAGGCAACGAUGCAUAGCCGACCUGAGAGGGUGAUCGGCCACACUGGAACUGAGACACGGUCCAGACUCCUACGGGAGGCAGCAGUAGGGAAUCUUCCGCAAUGGGCGAAAGCCUGACGGAGCAACGCCGCGUGAGUGAUGAAGGUCUUCGGAUCGUAAAACUCUGUUAUUAGGGAAGAACAUAUGUGUAAGUAACUGUGCACAUCUUGACGGUACCUAAUCAGAAAGCCACGGCUAACUACGUGCCAGCAGCCGCGGUAAUACGUAGGUGGCAAGCGUUAUCCGGAAUUAUUGGGCGUAAAGCGCGCGUAGGCGGUUUUUUAAGUCUGAUGUGAAAGCCCACGGCUCAACCGUGGAGGGUCAUUGGAAACUGGAAAACUUGAGUGCAGAAGAGGAAAGUGGAAUUCCAUGUGUAGCGGUGAAAUGCGCAGAGAUAUGGAGGAACACCAGUGGCGAAGGCGACUUUCUGGUCUGUAACUGACGCUGAUGUGCGAAAGCGUGGGGAUCAAACAGGAUUAGAUACCCUGGUAGUCCACGCCGUAAACGAUGAGUGCUAAGUGUUAGGGGGUUUCCGCCCCUUAGUGCUGCAGCUAACGCAUUAAGCACUCCGCCUGGGGAGUACGACCGCAAGGUUGAAACUCAAAGGAAUUGACGGGGACCCGCACAAGCGGUGGAGCAUGUGGUUUAAUUCGAAGCAACGCGAAGAACCUUACCAAAUCUUGACAUCCUUUGACAACUCUAGAGAUAGAGCCUUCCCCUUCGGGGGACAAAGUGACAGGUGGUGCAUGGUUGUCGUCAGCUCGUGUCGUGAGAUGUUGGGUUAAGUCCCGCAACGAGCGCAACCCUUAAGCUUAGUUGCCAUCAUUAAGUUGGGCACUCUAAGUUGACUGCCGGUGACAAACCGGAGGAAGGUGGGGAUGACGUCAAAUCAUCAUGCCCCUUAUGAUUUGGGCUACACACGUGCUACAAUGGACAAUACAAAGGGCAGCGAAACCGCGAGGUCAAGCAAAUCCCAUAAAGUUGUUCUCAGUUCGGAUUGUAGUCUGCAACUCGACUACAUGAAGCUGGAAUCGCUAGUAAUCGUAGAUCAGCAUGCUACGGUGAAUACGUUCCCGGGUCUUGUACACACCGCCCGUCACACCACGAGAGUUUGUAACACCCGAAGCCGGUGGAGUAACCUUUUAGGAGCUAGCC